RNAcentral lists this ribosomal RNA (241 nucleotides) under uncultured bacterium. Its description in RNAcentral is "partial 16S ribosomal RNA". It matches the Rfam family "Bacterial small subunit ribosomal RNA", at positions 524 to 764 of the family's 1533-position model. The record is from RNAcentral.
UACGUAGGGUGCGAGCGUUAAUCGGAAUUACUGGGCGUAAAGCGUGCGCAGGCGGUCUGUUAAGACCGAUGUGAAAUCCCCGGGCUUAACCUGGGAACUGCAUUGGUGACUGGCAGGCUUUGAGUGUGGCAGAGGGAGGUAGAAUUCCACGUGUAGCAGUGAAAUGCGUAGAGAUGUGGAGGAAUACCGAUGGCGAAGGCAGCCUCCUGGGCCAACACUGACGCUCAUGCACGAAGCGUGG